CAGUCGCCGCGGUAAUACGAAGGGGGCUAGCGUUGUUCGGAAUUGCUGGGCGUAAAGCGCACGUAGGCGGAUAUUUAAGUCAGGGGUGAAAUCCCAGAGCUCAACUCUGGAACUGCCUUUGAUACUGGGUAUCUUGAGUAUGGAAGAGGUGAGUGGAAUUCCGAGUGUAGAGGUGAAAUUCGUAGAUAUUCGGAGGAACACCAGUGGCGAAGGCGGCUCACUGGUCCAUUACCGACGCUGAGGUGCGAAAGCGUGGGGAGCAAACAGGAUUAGAUACCCCCGUAGUCCCUGUCUCUUAUAC
Molecule: ribosomal RNA, 301 nt
Filed under: uncultured bacterium
Lineage: Bacteria
Description: partial 16S ribosomal RNA
Rfam family: Bacterial small subunit ribosomal RNA
Source: RNAcentral